UCGAGAAUUUUUCACAAUGGGCGCAAGCCUGAUGGAGCGACGCCGCGUGGGGGAUGAAUGGCUUCGGCCCGUAAACCCCUGUCAUUCGCGAUCAAACCUUAUUAUUUAAAAGAUGAUGAGCUGAUAGUAGCGGAAGAGGAAGGGACGGCUAACUCUGUGCCAGCAGCCGCGGUAAUACAGAGGUCCCAAGCGUUGUUCGGAUUCACUGGGCGUAAAGGGUGCGUAGGUGGUGACGUAAGUCGGAUGUGAAAUCUCGGAGCUCAACUCCGAAAUGGCAUUGGAAACUGCGUCGCUGGAGGGUCGGAGGGGGGACUGGAAUUCUCGGUGUAGCAGUGAAAUGCGUAGAUAUCGAGAGGAACACCAGUGGCGAAGGCGAGUCCCUGGACGACUCCUGACACUGAGGCACGAAAGCUAGGGGAGCAAACA
This 426-nucleotide ribosomal RNA is filed under the name uncultured prokaryote. Its description in RNAcentral is "bacterial SSU rRNA". It matches the Rfam family "Bacterial small subunit ribosomal RNA", at positions 355 to 774 of the family's 1533-position model. The record is from RNAcentral.